RNAcentral lists this ribosomal RNA (406 nucleotides) under uncultured bacterium. Its description in RNAcentral is "partial 16S ribosomal RNA". It matches the Rfam family "Bacterial small subunit ribosomal RNA", at positions 30 to 526 of the family's 1533-position model. The record is from RNAcentral.
AUUGAACGCUGGCGGCAGGCCUAACACAUGCAAGUCGAACGCGUGGCGGACGGGUGAGUAAUGUAUGGGAAACUGCCCGAUGGAGGGGGAUAACUCCUGGAAACGGUAGCUAAUACCGCAUACCAUCGGAUGUGCCCAGAUGGGAUUAGCUUGUAGGGGAGGUAACGGCUAACCUAGGCGACGAUCCCUAGCUGGUCUGUGAGGAUGACCCGCAACACUGGAACUGAGACACGGUCCAGACUCCUACGGGAGGCAGCAGUGGGGAAUAUUGCACAAUGGGCGCAAGCCGUAUGCAGCCAUGCCGCGUGGAUGAAGAAGGCCUUCGGGUUGUAAAGUACUUUCAGCAGGGAAGCGGUACACGCAGAAGAAGCACCGGCUAACUCCGUGCCAGCCGCCGCGGUAAUAC